This 200-nucleotide ribosomal RNA is filed under the name uncultured eukaryote. RNAcentral's name for it is "partial 18S ribosomal RNA". It matches the Rfam family "Eukaryotic small subunit ribosomal RNA", at positions 588 to 784 of the family's 1831-position model. The record is from RNAcentral.
GCUCCAAUAGCGUAUAUUAAUGUUGCUGCAGUUAAAAAGCUCGUAGUUGGAUUUCUGACCAGGAGCGCCUGGCCGUGACCGAAAGGUUCAUGAGCGCCGGAGCGCUUCGGUCAUCCGUCUAGAGACCUUUACUGCCUUAAUUGGGUUGGUGAAUGGAAUCUAGGCCAUUUACUUUGAAGAAAAUAGAGUGUUCAAGCAGG